AUCGAACGCUGGCGGCAUGCCUUACACAUGCAAGUCGAACGGCAGCACGGGUGCUUGCACCUGGUGGCGAGUGGCGAACGGGUGAGUAAUACAUCGGAACAUGUCCUGUAGUGGGGGAUAGCCCGGCGAAAGCCGGAUUAAUACCGCAUACGAUCCACGGAUGAAAGCGGGGGACCUUCGGGCCUCGCGCUAUAGGGUUGGCCGAUGGCUGAUUAGCUAGUUGGUGGGGUAAAGGCCUACCAAGGCGACGAUCAGUAGCUGGUCUGAGAGGACGACCAGCCACACUGGGACUGAGACACGGCCCAGACUCCUACGGGAGGCAGCAGUGGGGAAUUUUGGACAAUGGGCGAAAGCCUGAUCCAGCAAUGCCGCGUGUGUGAAGAAGGCCUUCGGGUUGUAAAGCACUUUUGUCCGGAAAGAAAUCCUUGGCUCUAAUACAGUCGGGGGAUGACGGUACCGGAAGAAUAAGCACCGGCUAACUACGUG
Molecule: ribosomal RNA, 486 nt
Filed under: uncultured bacterium
Lineage: Bacteria
Description: partial 16S ribosomal RNA
Rfam family: Bacterial small subunit ribosomal RNA
Source: RNAcentral